GACGAACGCUGGCGGCGUGCUUAACACAUGCAAGUCGAACGAAGUGGCGAACGGGUGAGUAACGCGUAAUCAACCUGCCCUUCAGAGGGGGACAACAGUUGGAAACGACUGCUAAUACCGCAUACUGAAGGAGGGGAUUGCGUUUGAUUAGCUAGUUGGAGGGGUAACGGCCCACCAAGGCGAUGAUCAGUAGCCGGUCUGAGAGGAUGAACGGGCACAAUGGGAAUGUGACAAGGGCCAGGAUCCUACGGGAGGCAGCAGGGGGGAAACUUUCGCAAUGGACGGAAGUCUGGAGGAGCAACGCCGGGGUAGUUAUGAAGGCCUUCGGGUUGUAAAGCUCUGUUAAUCGGGACGCGGUACCGGAAUAGAAAGCCACGGCUAACUACGUGCCAGCAGCCGCGGUAAUUC
RNAcentral lists this ribosomal RNA (408 nucleotides) under uncultured bacterium. RNAcentral describes it as "partial 16S ribosomal RNA". It matches the Rfam family "Bacterial small subunit ribosomal RNA", at positions 28 to 526 of the family's 1533-position model. The record is from RNAcentral.